Molecule: ribosomal RNA, 403 nt
Filed under: uncultured Pseudobacteroides sp.
Lineage: Bacteria; Bacillati; Bacillota; Clostridia; Eubacteriales; Oscillospiraceae
Description: bacterial SSU rRNA
Rfam family: Bacterial small subunit ribosomal RNA
Source: RNAcentral
UGGGGAAUAUUGCACAAUGGGGGAAACCCUGAUGCAGCAACGCCGCGUGAAGGAUGAAGGUUUUCGGAUCGUAAACUUCUUUGAUGAGGGACGAAUAAUGACGGUACCUCAAGAACAAGCCACGGCUAACUACGUGCCAGCAGCCGCGGUAAUACGUAGGUGGCGAGCGUUGUCCGGAUUUACUGGGUGUAAAGGGCGUGUAGGCGGGAAUGUAAGUCAGAUGUGAAACUCCGGGGCUCAACCUCGGAACUGCAUCUGAAACUAUGUUUCUUGAGUGCUGGAGAGGAAAGCGGAAUUCCUAGUGUAGCGGUGAAAUGCGUAGAUAUUAGGAGGAACACCAGUGGCGAAGGCGGCUUUCUGGACAGUAACUGACGCUGAGGCGCGAAAGCGUGGGGAGCAAACA